GCUAACGCGCUGGAUGAUGCCACCCAUGAAGUGGAUUUCCGGCCAGUUCAGAAGCCGACUGAGGAGGCUGGGCGAGUCUUACACUCUUUUCCCUCAGCUCUGCCAAGUGGUGCUCGCCCAAGUUCGUCGUUCACUAUUCUUGACUGCGUGUACUUCUUCUCGUAGACUUUCUACGUUCUCGAGCCAUGUGUUGGCCCGCGGUAUGGAAUGCCGGCUCGUUUGGAGAGAUUCUAAGCUCGCGGAACAGAUCUCUAUCGCUUGAGCUGAAUUGCGGUUCACGACUGUGAUGCACGGGCGGCGAACAAACCUUUUCUCGAGAUGGAAUUCUCUACAAUAGGAUGCCACCGUUCGCCCUUUGGAAAGACACAGACUGUAGCCGAUAGCGAUUCCAAAGGUAUCACUUGUAGCUGUACGUGCUCUAACUCCACUUGAGGGAUGGUCUUGCUCUGAUGGAGGUAGUCCUCGAGCUAAAGGCAGAUGGUACUGCUGGUAUUCGUGAUGAUCCAUCUGUGAACCAUGCCCAAACAAGUUCUUGAUCGUGUUCUCUUAUACGGUUAGCAUCUUGUUCUUCCUCCUUCCCCAGGUAAGCUUUCAUUUUCAUCAACUCCUAUGUGGUUUUCUUUCCUUUUUUUUUUCAGAAUCCUGGGUCAUUACUGCGCUUCGUGUUUGCAACUGAUGCCUUUAAAAUGGUGACUGCUCCAAAGGAGAGCUACCGCGAGUCGAUAUCAGGUAGCUGUACUACAUUUUGGCAACCGUGGAGACGAGUGAGCUUGACACGAAUGACAGUUAACUUGAUUUGCUUCUUUGGUAAUGGAAGUGAUGUUAUCGAUUU
Long non-coding RNA from Selaginella moellendorffii, 832 nucleotides. RefSeq lists it as uncharacterized. The transcript has 4 exons. Lineage: Eukaryota; Viridiplantae; Streptophyta; Lycopodiopsida; Selaginellales; Selaginellaceae. The record is from RefSeq and is a predicted model, not a curated record.